Molecule: unclassified non-coding RNA, 290 nt
Organism: Propithecus coquereli (Coquerel's sifaka)
Lineage: Eukaryota; Metazoa; Chordata; Mammalia; Primates; Indriidae
Gene: 7SK
Rfam family: 7SK RNA
About the family: 7SK was discovered as an abundant small nuclear RNA in the mid-70s but a possible function has only recently been suggested. Two independent studies have found that 7SK RNA binds the CDK9/cyclin T complex (known as elongation factor P-TEFb).
Source: Ensembl
GGAUGUUAGAGCAAUCUGACAGUGACAUCUGCCACUCCAUUUAUGCCAAGUUUGAUUCGAGGGAUUUGGAUGGCUGAGAAGUGUCCAGUGAUUCCCUCACUGUUCUAUAUUUGUCAUCCUGCCUUAGGGAAUGGCUGUGUCUUCAGAUGUUAGCUAAGUCAAAGAGGGUAAUAAUUUCAGAGAGUGGAAAACCACACUGUAGUCCAAGCUACAGAAUUAGUUGAACACUCCUGCUAGGACCUUAAAACCAAUGUACGAGUUCAUACGGAAAUGCCAAUUUCAGUUCUACU